This 253-nucleotide ribosomal RNA is filed under the name uncultured bacterium. RNAcentral's name for it is "partial 16S ribosomal RNA". It matches the Rfam family "Bacterial small subunit ribosomal RNA", at positions 524 to 776 of the family's 1533-position model. The record is from RNAcentral.
UACGUAGGGUGCAAGCGUUAAUCGGAAUUACUGGGCGUAAAGCGUACGCAGGCGGCUUUGCAAGACAGGUGUGAAAUCCCCGGGCCUAACCUGGGAACUGCAUUCGUGACUGCAUGGCUAGAGUUUGUCAGAGGGGGGUGGAAUUCCACGUGUAGCAGUGAAAUGCGUAGAUAUGUGGAGGAACACCGAUGGCGAAGGCAGCCCCCUGGGAUGUGACUGACGCUCAUGUACGAAAGCGUGGGGAGCAAACAGG